AUCCACCUAACGAGUCUUGAAUGGGACGAAACGCGCGUCCUGGAU
RNAcentral lists this non-coding RNA (45 nucleotides) under Schistosoma mansoni. The record is from RNAcentral. Lineage: Eukaryota; Metazoa; Platyhelminthes; Trematoda; Strigeidida; Schistosomatidae.